This 446-nucleotide long non-coding RNA is filed under the name Hordeum vulgare. Its description in RNAcentral is "long non-coding RNA (HVUL_LNC003969)". Lineage: Eukaryota; Viridiplantae; Streptophyta; Magnoliopsida; Poales; Poaceae. The record is from RNAcentral.
AAUAUCUUUUAGGAAUUUAUUUCUGGCUUAAUUUGCAAGCCACAUCCUUUGUUUUGUUGGAGUAUGGUAAUUCGAGGUGCUUGAAUGUCAAGUGAUGAUCUAUCUUCCCUAAGCGGCGUUUUCAUAUUUCUAUGCGAGUGCUUAUCCUUUUGCUCAAUCAAAAUUUCAUGUUAAUUGUUUUCAAACGGUGUGCUUCUCUUCAAGUAAUUCAAUCCUCUCCAACAUUUUCAAGUUCAACCCUCAUAAUUCUUUCUGGAGUUCAUCUCACCUAUCCCAAGUUAUCGUUGUUUUUCCCAUCCUCUCGCUCUUUUUCUUCAAUGAUUAAAUUAUCAUGCAUGAGAAUAUGUGUGUUUGGGAUAUAUAUAUAUGGAGAGAUUUGUGCGAGUGUGACAUGCCCUCCGAUCGAGUUUCUUAUGUUUUGUUGAAAUGUCGAUUUAUUUCUGUUU